This 274-nucleotide ribosomal RNA is filed under the name uncultured bacterium. Its description in RNAcentral is "partial 16S ribosomal RNA". It matches the Rfam family "Bacterial small subunit ribosomal RNA", at positions 523 to 796 of the family's 1533-position model. The record is from RNAcentral.
AUACGGAGGGGGUUAGCGUUGUUCGGAAUUACUGGGCGUAGAGCGCACGUAGGCGGACUGGAAAGUUGGGGGUGAAAUCCCGGGGCUCAACCCAGGAACUGCCUCAAAAACUUCCAAUCUAGAGAUCGAGAGAGGUGAGUGGAAUUCCAAGUGUAGAGGUGAAAUUCGUAGAUAUUUGGAGGAACACCAGUGGCGAAGGCGGCUCACUGGCUCGAUACUGACGCUGAGGUGCGAAAGCGUGGGGAGCAAACAGGAUUAGAAACCCUAGUAGUCC